This 86-nucleotide transfer RNA is filed under the name Nematostella vectensis (starlet sea anemone). It matches the Rfam family "tRNA". Rfam says of the family: Transfer RNA (tRNA) molecules are approximately 80 nucleotides in length. Their secondary structure includes four short double-helical elements and three loops (D, anti-codon, and T loops). Lineage: Eukaryota; Metazoa; Cnidaria; Anthozoa; Actiniaria; Edwardsiidae. The record is from Rfam by way of RNAcentral.
CCUUCGAUAGCUCAGUUGGUAGAGCGGGGGACUGUAGAUUUAUAAUUGUGAUCCCUAGGUCGCUGGUUCGAAUCCGGCUCGAAUGA